CCUACGGGAGGCAGCAGUGGGGAAUCUUCCGCAAUGGGCGAAAGCCUGACGGAGCGACACCGCGUGGAGGAUGAAGGAUUUGUUUUUGUAAACUCCUUUUCUGUGGGAAGAUGAUGACGGUACCACAGGAAUAAGGGACGGCUAACUACGUGCCAGCAGCCGCGGUAAUACGUAGGUCCCAAGCGUUAUCCGGAAUUACUGGGCGUAAAGCGUCUGUAGGCUGAUGGAAAAGUUUGAUGUUAAAGACCAGGGCUCAACCCUGCGUUUGCAUCGAAAACUCUUCAUCUAGGAUCAGGGAGAGGCAAGCGGAAUGGUUGGAGUAGGGGUGCAAUCCGUAGAUACCAACCAGAACACCAAAAGCGAAGGCAGCUUACUGGAACUGUAUCGACGUUGAGAGACGAAAGCGUGGGUAGCGAAAAGGAUUAGAUACCCGAGUAGUC
Molecule: ribosomal RNA, 440 nt
Filed under: uncultured bacterium
Lineage: Bacteria
Description: bacterial SSU rRNA
Rfam family: Bacterial small subunit ribosomal RNA
Source: RNAcentral